This 997-nucleotide ribosomal RNA is filed under the name uncultured organism. Its description in RNAcentral is "bacterial SSU rRNA". It matches the Rfam family "Bacterial small subunit ribosomal RNA", at positions 356 to 1376 of the family's 1533-position model. The record is from RNAcentral.
GGGGGAUAUUGCACAAUGGGAGAAACCCUGAUGCAGCGACGCCGCGUGGAGGAAGAAGGUUUUCGGAUUGUAAACUCCUGUCGUUAGGGACGAUAAUGACGGUACCUAACAAGAAAGCACCGGCUAACUACGUGCCAGCAGCCGCGGUAAAACGUAGGGUGCAAGCGUUGUCCGGAAUUACUGGGUGUAAAGGGAGCGCAGGCGGGAAGACAAGUUGGAAGUGAAAACCAUGGGCUCAACCCAUGAAUUGCUUUCAAAACUGUUUUUCUUGAGUAGUGCAGAGGUAGAUGGAAUUCCCGGUGUAGCGGUGGAAUGCGUAGAUAUCGGGAGGAACACCAGUGGCGAAGGCGGUCUACUGGGCACCAACUGACGCUGAGGCUCGAAAGCAUGGGUAGCAAACAGGAUUAGAUACCCUGGUAGUCCAUGCCGUAAACGAUGAUUACUAGGUGUUGGGGGAUUGACCCCCUCAGUGCCGCAGUUAACACAAUAAGUAAUCCACCUGGGGAGUACGACCGCAAGGUUGAAACUCAAAGGAAUUGACGGGGGCCCGCACAAGCAGUGGAGUAUGUGGUUUAAUUCGAAGCAACGCGAAGAACCUUACCAGGUCUUGACAUCCGAUGCAUAGCACAGAGAUGUGUGAAAUCCUUCGGGACAUCGAGACAGGUGGUGCAUGGUUGUCGUCAGCUCGUGUCGUGAGAUGUUGGGUUAAGUCCCGCAACGAGCGCAACCCUUAUUGCCAGUUACUACGUUAAGAGGACUCUGGCGAGACUGCCGUUGACAAAACGGAGGAAGGUGGGGAUGACGUCAAAUCAUCAUGCCCUUUAUGACCUGGGCUACACACGUACUACAAUGGCGUUAAACAAAGAGAAGCAAGACCGCGAGGUGGAGCAAAACUCAAAAACAACGUCUCAGUUCAGAUUGCAGGCUGCAACUCGCCUGCAUGAAGUCGGAAUUGCUAGUAAUCGCGGAUCAGCAUGCCGCGGUGAAUACGUUCCCG